ACACGGGUUUCACUGGCACCCAGUACGUUGGACAUUUGUGUGAAAGUGAGGCCAGUGUGGU
RNAcentral lists this microRNA precursor (61 nucleotides) under Eisenia fetida (common brandling worm). RNAcentral's name for it is "Efe-Mir-2690-P3_pre stem-loop". The record is from RNAcentral. Lineage: Eukaryota; Metazoa; Annelida; Clitellata; Crassiclitellata; Lumbricidae.